GAAUACCUUGGCGAUGGGGUUCCGCCAUAACCGCCGGGAGAAUGCCGCAAGGUCUGCCUCCCGCGCUGAUGACUCCUACCGAUUG
RNAcentral lists this non-coding RNA (85 nucleotides) under Planctomyces sp. RNAcentral describes it as "Fluoride sequence". It matches the Rfam family "Fluoride riboswitch aptamer (crcB RNA motif)". Lineage: Bacteria; Pseudomonadati; Planctomycetota; Planctomycetia; Planctomycetales; Planctomycetaceae. RNAcentral also lists the same sequence under 1 other name. The record is from RNAcentral.